GGAGAGAUGGCCGAGUUGGCUGAAGGCGCUCGCCUGCUAAGCGAGUGUAGGGUUACAAGCUCUACCGAGGGUUCGAAUCCCUCUCUCUCCGCCA
This 94-nucleotide transfer RNA is filed under the name Desulfobacteraceae bacterium. RNAcentral's name for it is "tRNA-Ser". It matches the Rfam family "tRNA". From Rfam's summary of the family: Transfer RNA (tRNA) molecules are approximately 80 nucleotides in length. The record is from RNAcentral. RNAcentral also lists the same sequence under 1 other name. Lineage: Bacteria; Pseudomonadati; Thermodesulfobacteriota; Desulfobacteria; Desulfobacterales; Desulfobacteraceae.